UAGAAUGAAGAGCCUCAGAAGCUCUCCUU
RNAcentral lists this non-coding RNA (29 nucleotides) under Rattus norvegicus (Norway rat). The record is from RNAcentral. Lineage: Eukaryota; Metazoa; Chordata; Mammalia; Rodentia; Muridae.